AUUAUUGCACAAUGGGCGAAAGCCUGAUCCAGCCAUGCCGCGUGUGUGAAGUUGGUCUUCUGUUUGUAAAGCACUUUAAGUUGGGAGGAAUGUCAGUAAGUUAAUACCUUGCUGAUUUGACGUUACCGACAGUAUAAGCACCGGCGAACUUCGUGCCAGCAGCCGCGGUAAUAGGAAGGUUCCAAGCGUUAAUCGGAAUUACUGGGCGUAAAGCGCGCGUAGGUGGUUCGUUAAGUUGGAAGUAAAAGCCCCGGGCUUAACCUGGGAAUUGCUUUCAAAACUGACGAGCUAGAGUACGGUAGAGGGUAGUGGAAUUUCCUGUGUAGCGGUGAAAUGCGUAGACAUAGAAAGGAACAUCAGUGGCGAAGGCGACUACCUGGACUGAUACUGACACUGAGGUGCGAAAGCGUGGGGAGCAAACAGG
This 424-nucleotide ribosomal RNA is filed under the name uncultured bacterium. RNAcentral's name for it is "partial 16S ribosomal RNA". It matches the Rfam family "Bacterial small subunit ribosomal RNA", at positions 360 to 776 of the family's 1533-position model. The record is from RNAcentral.